RNAcentral lists this ribosomal RNA (497 nucleotides) under uncultured bacterium. RNAcentral's name for it is "partial 16S ribosomal RNA". It matches the Rfam family "Bacterial small subunit ribosomal RNA", at positions 28 to 507 of the family's 1533-position model. The record is from RNAcentral.
GAUGAACGCUGGCGGCGUGCCUAAUACAUGCAAGUCGAGCGAACAGACGAGGAGCUUGCUCCUCUGACGUUAGCGGCGGACGGGUGAGUAACACGUGGAUAACCUACCUAUAAGACUGGGAUAACUUCGGGAAACCGGAGCUAAUACCGGAUAAUAUAUUGAACCGCAUGGUUCAAUAGUGAAAGACGGUUUUGCUGUCACUUAUAGAUGGAUCCGCGCCGCAUUAGCUAGUUGGUAAGGUAACGGCUUACCAAGGCAACGAUGCGUAGCCGACCUGAGAGGAGGAUAGGCAAAACGGGAAAUGAGAAACGGUCCAGACUACGAGGGGAGGAAGCAGUGGGGAAGAUGGGACAAGGGGCGAAAGCCUGACGUAGCAAUGCCGAGUGAGUGAAGAAGGUCUGCGGAUUGGAAAACCGUGGUAUGGGGAAAGAAAAGAAGUAGGUGAAUACCUGGCGGUUCGGAGGGGAGCUAAUCAAAAAGCAACGGCUAACUACGUG